UCCCUGGUGACUUAGACGGUAAAGCGUCUGCCUGCAGUGCAGGAGACCCAGGUUCGAUCCCUGGGUUGGGAA
Bos taurus (domestic cattle) is the source of this 72-nucleotide non-coding RNA. Lineage: Eukaryota; Metazoa; Chordata; Mammalia; Artiodactyla; Bovidae. The record is from Rfam.